Molecule: long non-coding RNA, 519 nt
Organism: Poecilia latipinna (sailfin molly)
Lineage: Eukaryota; Metazoa; Chordata; Actinopteri; Cyprinodontiformes; Poeciliidae
Exons: 2
Source: RefSeq, a predicted model, not a curated record
CUCGGAGCUCAGUACCGGAGGGAAUGGCGUAGCAUGGUUUAGCUAUAGCUUAGCUUCUUGUAAUAGCAGUGUUUCAGAAGUUCUCCAUUUUGCGAACUUUGAACUCGGUGAAGCUCGUGUCCAGCACAGUUUUCUUCCCGGGAAUUCAGGUUUUGUAAGGAGAGCUGCCUGAAGGAUUUGGUUUAACGUUGAGCCUGUGCAGGCGUUGAUGUGCUGAGUCGAGCUGAAAGCUUCAUCCAGUUGGUUUUCUCUCACCGACCUUGUCAGGAUGGAAGGAAGCAGAUAAAAAUUAUUUAUUUUUUUCUUGCUUAAGCUUGAUUUACAGCUCGGUGAACUGCUCUAACAUUGCUGGAAGUUGCAGGAAAUGAGAUAUAUUUUAUUUCAUUUGGUUGCAUCACUGUUGCUGCUGCUUGUGAUGACAAUCUGCACAACCAAGAACAAUAAUCCCCCCUGGAUUUAGAUUUCCAUCUCAUUUAGAGCUAAAAAUGCAGCUUGAAAGUAAAAUGAGGCGCUUCAACU